This is a long non-coding RNA of Brienomyrus brachyistius, 2606 nucleotides long. RefSeq lists it as uncharacterized. The transcript is spliced from 4 exons. The record is from RefSeq and is a predicted model, not a curated record. NCBI's taxonomy places the organism in Eukaryota, Metazoa, Chordata, Actinopteri, Osteoglossiformes, Mormyridae.
AAAGGGGAGGCGGCGUGGGUGCGCAUGCGCCAAGCGCCGGACUAGCGAUCGGCCAUUCCGCCCCGCGUUGUUCAAACAGAGUAGUCGCAUGUGGCAGUGCUCCGGGAUCGUUUCGUCUUAUUUCUUCUAAAAGUUUGCCGCUUGCAUGCUUUCUUCAACCUGGUAAAUAUAACUAAAGUCUUUCGUGUUGGUUAAAUGUAAUGAGUGUACUCUUCUUUUAAAACGGCGGGGUGUAUGUUUGUUGGUUUCGCUUGUUUACAUUUGCUCUUCUGCUGCUUCUUUCGGGCAUGUUUGUUUAAAUUCACCCCUGCUUUUUCUUUUAAAAUAACCCUAAGGGUUUUCUUCUUUAACACACUUGGUGCUUUCUUCUUUUAAAACAUUUGGGUGCUUUCUUUUAAAAUACGCCGCGGUGCUUACUAACAACACAGGGCCGGACGGACGCCCCCGCUGAACGUGUAUGCACUAGCUUGCCAUUAUCCUGCUCUAUGUUUUAUUAUUCCUUAAAAACUUAAUUAAAAAACCACAUUGAUAAAAUACAUGUAAUGUAUUUUUAUUCUAUUAAAGUUUAAUCUCCCAAACCCCCCCUAUCGGCAACACGUGGCAUAAGCAUGUAUUGAUACCAUAUAUGGACAUAGCGGCAAUCUCCCAAAACCAUAUCGCCCCCUAUCGGCAAAACGUGGCAUAAGCAUGUAUUGAUACCAUAUAUGGGCAUAAACCCUCGACCAAUCAGCAUCAAGGAUAAGCCACUUCCUCUUAUGACGUCAGAAGCGGAGAAUUAAGCUCCGCCCAAUGUACCACAUAACCUUUUUUACCAGUUCUCAGAAAAGCCCACCUCCUCAUCCACUUCCACUGCACAAAUAAGCAAAUCUUUUUAGAGUCUCAGAGUCAUUUUUUCAAGGUAUCAUCCUUGUGCAGAAGACAGAAGCGCGAGGAUCCUGCACACUGAUACCACUGGCGUGUGGAGUUCGAUAGAUGAAAACAGUUCCUACAUUGAACUGCUCACUAAAAACUGUGGAUUAUCUUCAGUAACUCGGAUGUGAUUCCUGAUGGACCCCAUUCCUCCUUGUGUUUCAUUGCCAGAAACGAUGUGGACCUACGGGCGAUUUCUGUUGGUUUUCAUCCUAACUGUAAUUUGUUCUCUGCUCCUCCUCUGUUCCUGUGUUUUCAUGUGCAAACAAGGUCUGAAGAAAUCUGUGCUUCAUAAGACUGUGGUGGAGGGACAGCAGCUUCCUGCUGGGGCACAUGGGAACCAGGGGCAGGCCGGAAGUGAUGGACAACAACUGCUUGACAUUUACACAGAGGUCAACUACAGCCCACUGUGACCUCUGACCUCAGCUACACCUCCGCAAGUCAUGUGAUCCAGACAAUCCCAACAUCCAAGAUUCCCUUACACACCUUAACCACACACUCCUACAUGUCUUAAUUUUGACACAUAAGGGCUUCAAUUUUCUCAUUCAAUUAUAAUUGUGAUUUUAAUUUUCAUGCGCACAUUGCAGUCUGGCUGAACUGCACACAUGCAGUCUGGCUGAACUGCGCACAUUGCAGUCUGGCUGAACUGCGCACAUGCAGUCUGGCUGAACUGCGCACAUUGCAGUCUGGCUGAACUGCGCACAUGCAGUCUCGCUGAACUGCGCACAUGCAGUCUGGCUGAACUGUAAAAGCCGUUUCCAGCUUUAUUUUGGAUGAUUAUUAAGCAAUAAGUCUCUUUUAUUUUAUUCUGAAAAAGGCCUUUAUUUGAAUUAUUUUUAGUGCAUAUCAUCCAGGGAGGAAUUUUAAGGGGCCAUUGCUCUGACCCCCUCCCUCGAGAAAAAAUAAAUAAAUCACACAGACUGUAUGGAGAACUAAAAAAUACACAAUUUCUUUAUUAAUUCAGUCUUUAUUAAUAUACCUUGCUCCAAAUUUACUUUAAAGCAGAAUCCUCCUAUUGGAGUCCAUCUGCCAGGAUGUGCUCCCCUUUGCUGCCUCCCUGAGCUGCCUCUCUCUCUCUCUCUCCGAAAUCCUCCACUUUUCGGAGGGAAUUCGAGCUUAGCGUAGCAUGCAAACACCCAAAACAGCAAUAGGAUUUAGGCAUUUUACCAUUUUGAAUAAAACAACUAACGUAAUGCACUUCACAUCAAAAAUGAUACCUUCCAUCAUUGAUGCUUCUUGUUACGUGGGAAACUGAGGCCAGACUUAUGAAGAUUUCAUUUCAUUAAUCAUUUCUACAACGUCAGUGUGUAAUGGGCAGCUGCAAAAUACUGGCUCUGGCUCUAGUGCCGUGGAUGCAUGCGACACAGCUGAAAGGAAAACAGACCGGCUGACCUUAAAGAAACUAUGUCCACUCGCUUUGCCUAUAAGUUUAUCGAGUGGAAGUGAACAGCUUGAUGGCGAAGUAGCUAGUCUCAGAGUGAGCCUGUAAAGUUACUGCCAAAUGCAUUUCUCUCUGCCUUACACGAAGCGUUUCGGGUGGCGUUUUUAAAAAAUGCGCGCAGUCCGCCACCGUUCAGUAGGUGCGCAGUGAAGCAGAAUGGGCUGUUCGGGGAGCUGCGCUGUCGCGAAGCUGUUGAGUUGCUACUGUAUGUGACUGAGCUCCGGCAAGCGCGGCAAAUUAAAAAGCAUUUUCCUAA